RNAcentral lists this ribosomal RNA (465 nucleotides) under Vreelandella stevensii. RNAcentral describes it as "partial 16S ribosomal RNA". It matches the Rfam family "Bacterial small subunit ribosomal RNA", at positions 338 to 795 of the family's 1533-position model. Lineage: Bacteria; Pseudomonadati; Pseudomonadota; Gammaproteobacteria; Oceanospirillales; Halomonadaceae. The record is from RNAcentral.
CCUACGGGGGGCAGCAGUGGGGAAUAUUGGACAAUGGGGGCAACCCUGAUCCAGCCAUGCCGCGUGUGUGAAGAAGGCCCUCGGGUUGUAAAGCACUUUCAGCGAGGAAGAACGCCUGGUGGUUAAUACCCAUCAGGAAAGACAUCACUCACAGAAGAAGCACCGGCUAACUCCGUGCCAGCAGCCGCGGUAAUACGGAGGGUGCGAGCGUUAAUCGGAAUUACUGGGCGUAAAGCGCGCGUAGGUGGCUUGAUAAGCCGGUUGUGAAAGCCCCGGGCUCAACCUGGGAACGGCAUCCGGAACUGGCAAGCUAGAGUGCAGGAGAGGAAGGUAGAAUUCCCGGUGUAGCGGUGAAAUGCGUAGAGAUCGGGAGGAAUACCAGUGGCGAAGGCGGCCUUCUGGACUGACACUGACACUGAGGUGCGAAAGCGUGGGUAGCAAACAGGAUUAGAUACCCCGGUAGUC